Sapajus apella (tufted capuchin) is the source of this 726-nucleotide long non-coding RNA. RefSeq lists it as uncharacterized. NCBI's taxonomy places the organism in Eukaryota, Metazoa, Chordata, Mammalia, Primates, Cebidae. The transcript is spliced from 3 exons. The record is from RefSeq and is a predicted model, not a curated record.
CCGCCGGAAGCAGCCGUUUGAAGAGAGUGCGCAAGGGAAUAUGAAGUCAAAGCAGAAGAGUUUCGAGAAGAAGGAGUACUCAACAGCAUCAAGGAAACAAGUUAGGUUAGUUGUCAAGGGCUCAUGAGAUUACACAGAGCUAACUUUAAGUAAGACUCCAAGAGGCAUCAAAAAGCAAUAACAAAGACAAACUAGAUAAUCAUACUCCAGUAUGGUAUUAGAAGAUAUUUAACAACUCCCACACUCUUUGGGGUGAGUAUGCCCCUGAGAUGCUUGGUUAAUUCUGGAGCAGAGCAAAGAGAAGUAUCCCAAGGAAGAUCCUUGACUAUCAACUCAAUACAGCAGGUAGGAGCUCAAAGUCAAAUUGCUGUAUCUGAAGUAACAAUCCCAGCAAACCCUGAAAAGGAGGUGGCUGCAGCAAUAUCUUGGAAAUCUGCUGGAAGUUCUUGCUUUACACUUAAGAACCUGGGGGUAGAGGAUGAGACAGUUUCCUGAAGAAAAACGCAGGGAAGAAAGUAGUAAUUCCGGGACCUUAUCAGUAAUAAAAUAGUUCAACGUAUUCUCAUAUUGUCCUUUUAAGCUGGGCUAUAUCUAUGCCCAUGUCUCCCUUUUUAAUCACAUUUGUUUCUUCUUUUUUUCAUGUAUGAAUGUCACCAAAAAUUUAUCUAAUUUGAUUCUAUUUUUAAAGAAUGAACAUUUAUCUUGAUUAAUUCAUUUAUGGUAUAU